Molecule: long non-coding RNA, 167 nt
Organism: Nomascus leucogenys (northern white-cheeked gibbon)
Lineage: Eukaryota; Metazoa; Chordata; Mammalia; Primates; Hylobatidae
Exons: 2
Source: RefSeq, a predicted model, not a curated record
UUCCUGGGCUUAAGUGAUCCUCCCACCUCAGCCUCCCAGCUGGGUCCGCUUUGCCUUCUGCCAUGAGUGGAAGCAGCCUGAAGCUCUCACCAGAAGCAAAUACUGACAGUAUGCUUCUUGUAUAGCCUGCAGAACUAUGAGCCAAAUAAACCUUUUUUUAAAAUAAA